CGCCUCUUGACUCUUAUAAGAGGUCCAGCCUGCCCAGUGACCAUGUUCAACGGCCGCGGUAUCCUAACCGUGCGAAGGUAGCGUAAUCACUUGUUCUUUAAAUGUGGACUAGUAUGAAUGGCACCACGAAGGUUAUACUGUCUCCUUUUUCUAAUCAGUGAAACUAAUCUCCCCGUGAAGAAGCGAGGAUAUACCUAUAAGACGAGAAGACCCUAUGGAGCUUUAAACAACACAGCAAUUACCUGCUAAACUAAGAAGUUUCUGAACAUUUUCAAUCUUUUAAGUAAUCUGACUGCAAGUUUUUGGUUGGGGUGACCACGGAGCAUAACACAACCUCCAUGUUGAAAGAAUUCUUUCUAAGCCAAGAACAACCUUUCUAAGCAUCAAUAUAUUGACAUCCAUUGACCCAAUACAUUUGACCAACGAACCAAGUUACCCUAGGGAUAACAGCGCAAUCCACUUCAAGAGCUCCUAUCGACAAGUGGGUUUACGACCUCGAUGUUGGAUCAGGGUAUCCCAGUGGUGCAGCCGCUACUAAAGGUUCGUUUGUUCAACGAUUAAAACCCUACG
Molecule: ribosomal RNA, 570 nt
Filed under: Rhinella marina (marine toad)
Lineage: Eukaryota; Metazoa; Chordata; Amphibia; Anura; Bufonidae
Description: partial 16S ribosomal RNA
Rfam family: Bacterial large subunit ribosomal RNA
Source: RNAcentral